RNAcentral lists this ribosomal RNA (477 nucleotides) under Triticum aestivum (bread wheat). Its description in RNAcentral is "partial small subunit ribosomal RNA". Lineage: Eukaryota; Viridiplantae; Streptophyta; Magnoliopsida; Poales; Poaceae. The record is from RNAcentral.
AUGAUCACUCUCAUUUUGAAGAAGGACGGGGCCACAAGAAUAAACGAGUUUAGGCCCAUCAGCCUUAUCCAUUCCAUAGCUCAGCUGAUCACUAAGGUGUCAUCCAUGAGACUGGCUUCUGUCAUCGACCGGAUCAUCUCCCCCACGCAAACGGCCUUUCAGAGGAAGAAAUGCAUUCAUGACAGCUAUCUUUAUGUUCGGAACACUGUUCGGGCUCUGCAUAGGAAUAAAACACCGGCUCUUCUCAUCAAGCUUGACAUUGCUACAACUUUUGAUAGUGUAUCUUGGGAGUGCAUGAUGGAGUUGCUCCAACAACUAGGUUUCUCCUCUCGUUGGAUAGAUUGGAUAGCACUCCUCCUGUCAACCUCCUCCUCGGCCUGCCUACUUAAUGGCGACCCUGGCGAGAGUUUUUUUGCAUCAGCGAGGACUGUGGCAGGGCGAUUUGCUUUCGCCGCUCCUUUUCAUCCUCUGCAUUGA